AUAAACACUUUCUAGGGUUCCGCUCGAAGAGGUCUGGUCCGAGGGAAAGUGCAGCACAAGAUUCGUGCUGUUCACGGAGGGAAAAAAGCCCGGGAGAU
This 98-nucleotide small RNA is filed under the name Geomicrobium sp. JCM 19038. RNAcentral describes it as "Guanidine-I riboswitch aptamer". It matches the Rfam family "Guanidine-I riboswitch aptamer". Rfam says of the family: This family represents a conserved RNA structure found upstream of the ykkC and yxkD genes in Bacillus subtilis and related genes in other bacteria. The function of this family is unclear although it has been suggested that it may function to switch on efflux pumps and detoxification systems in response to harmful environmental molecules. The record is from Rfam by way of RNAcentral. Lineage: Bacteria; Bacillati; Bacillota; Bacilli; Caryophanales. RNAcentral also lists the same sequence under 1 other name.